UCGUAACACGCACGGCACAAAACUUGAGCAGGAAAAGGCUGUUUUUGUUUUGAAAGUGUAGGUGUGCCCAAGUUGGGUUCUUUCAAAAAUCCUCCUUCCCGCCCCCUUGCAAAGCGGCCUCUUGGGCUCCUGCCUCGGGAAGGCCAGGCCGGAGGGUGAGCGUAGCCUGCAGGCCAGCACCUCCCCUUCCGGGCGCCUGGCCGCGCCCCCGCCCAGUGUCCCCGGAGCGUCGGGCACCGCGAGGGAGGCGGGUCUGAGCCCGGAGCCUUGAAUUACGUGGGACGGAGGCGGGAUUCCAAGCCCUCCGACCCCGCGCAGCUGCUGUAACCCCGAGAUAGCAGAGAAGCCAUGAAACUGCCAUGUAGGACUGGAACUGCUGGCUGUCCGUGACACUGUGGUACCUGUGUGGGAGCCUUCACGGAAAGUUUUUGAUGAGGAAUGCCAGGCCCAAUAUUUUCCUGCUGAUGGUGGACGAUCUUGUGGUGGGAGAUUUGUGCUGUUAAAGCAAUAACACAAUGAGGUAAAGAAGCCACCACACCGUGGACGGGAGAGCCCUUGAGAGGGUGGCCCCCAGGGAGCAGUCAUCCCUAAGGACAGCAGAGGUCGCCCUGGGACAGCUGCAAAGGACAGAACUACUACUGCUGUUUCAUUAUUGUGCACCUCUAAUAUUGACUGCCUGGCAAGUGAGGUGGUGAGAAACACCCAGAACCUAGCAGCUGCCUUCUUGGGGGCGCAGGAGACUUGACAGCAGAUGGUACAGUACGACUCCGUGGGCUUAAUGAGUGAAUCUUACAUUUCUCAAUGUUUACAAAAGACCCUUCUGGGCGUUUGAUUGAGACUGCAUCCAAGUUUGAGAUGGGUGAUCGACGGCCACAACCUGAUGCCUUUGCUUCAGGGACAUGUCCGGCGCUCAGAGCAUGAGUUUCUGUUCCACUACUGUGGUGCGUACCUCCACGCCGUGCGCUGGCACCCGAUGGGCAGUGAGGUGGUGUGGAAGGUUCAUUAUGUGACGCCAGUCGUCCAGCCACCAGGAGCUCAAGCCUGCUAUCAGAGUGUGUUUUGCCAAUGUUCAGGCCAACGGGUCACCCACCACGACCCUUCUCUGCUCUUUGACCUCACCAGAGACCCCUCGGAGUUCACACCCCUAACACACGACGCAGAGCCCUUGUAUGAUACAGUGAUCGAAACAGUGGCCAGCACCCUAAAGGAGCACAAGAAAACCAUCCUUCCGGUCCAGGAGCAGCCGUCAGAACUGAAUCGUAACAAUAUAUGGCUGAAGCCUUGCUGUGGGGUAGUCCCAUGCUGUCUGUGUGACAAGGAAGGGGGACGCCUUAGUUGAGGGGUCAUGACAAUAAGCCACGGUGGAGAACAGGCAGCCAAAGUCUGCUAAUUUUAGCUCUUUCCCGUUUUCCAGGAAUGCAUUUGAGCGCCAAUAAAUUCAUCUAUUGUUCCAGAUAAUCAAAUGUGUGUUGGUGGUGACGAUUUCCACUAAUUUCUUUUCCAUUCUUGAGGAUAAAUGUUGAUCUUGUUUCCAAGUUUUCAGACAUCUCUUUCAGGGCUGGGACACAUGCACUGGCAUCCAUUUGUCCCAUGAGCUCUGUUGUUCUUCAAAGUAAACUCUACUUAUAAAGAACCAUGUACAAACAAGUCAUUGAUCGGGAGAGGCCAAACACGCAGCAUUUAAUAAUAAUGCAUUGAAAGCAUCCAUCCCAAAGUGGUCAAUAAGCCAAGGGAAGGAUUUAUUUUUGUCCGCAAUCAAGAUAAAUUGAGUCAAGAGUGGUACAGCUUUGAGCCUAUGGUAGUUUACAUAGCAGCUGGUCGCCUUAUCGUCUGGGAGGCAGUCCAGUCAUUGAUGCAACAUUGCCCAGAGCAAGGUGAUCCCAGAGACCAAAAAGAAGUGGGGACCAAAUACCUGGGAAGGUCAUCAGCAUCGGCUUUCCCCUGAGGAUGUGCCAGACCUUGAUGGAGUAUCUUAUUUCCCUCUUACUCCCCAUUUAUGCUUAAGUAUAAUUCCUGGCAGUUUCCUAGGGCUGCCUUAACAAAUCACCUCAAAUGUGGUGGCUCAAAACAAUGGAGAUGUAUUCUCUCUCAAUUAUGGAAGCCAGCAGCCCCAAAUUCAAGGUAUUGGUAGGGCCAGGCUUCCCCUGAAAUUUUGAUAAGGUCACAUUCACAUUUCCAAAUCAGGUAGCAGGAUUUAGGACAUCCACAUGUCUUUUGCGGGGUUAGAAUUCAAGCAACUCCUCCCCUAUAUAAUGGAUGAAAUAUGUGGGGCUUGGAAAUGUUCCUGUAAUGUGCUCAGGAGAACACAGCUUGUUAAGUUAUGGGGCUGAGACUGACCCCCCCGGUCAUAUUGACCCCAAACUCCGAUGCACACCUAUCCCAUGAUGCCUUGCAGGCUGUAAUCCCAGGAGGAACACAAUUAUGUGUGUUUGAUCCCUUUUAACAUGACUCUAUUCUUUAUUGUCUAUACUAAGGAGUAAACGGAGACUAAAAAUCAAAUGCAAAUCACUGUAUUAAUAUUGGAUAUUGAAUAAAGAUUUAUUUGACUCCGA
Molecule: long non-coding RNA, 2552 nt
Organism: Manis javanica (Malayan pangolin)
Lineage: Eukaryota; Metazoa; Chordata; Mammalia; Pholidota; Manidae
Source: RefSeq, a predicted model, not a curated record